This is a long non-coding RNA of Saccostrea cuccullata (small rock oyster), 543 nucleotides long. RefSeq lists it as uncharacterized. The transcript is spliced from 4 exons. The record is from RefSeq and is a predicted model, not a curated record. NCBI's taxonomy places the organism in Eukaryota, Metazoa, Mollusca, Bivalvia, Ostreida, Ostreidae.
AAAAUAAAAUAACUAAUUCUCCCGUUAAAAACGAAAGCGAAACAGGAAGUAAUGUCUGUUAAGUCGUUCGUUUUCUGGUUAUUGAAAAGAAGAGGAUAAAAUGGACUGAUUGAUACAGAGAUCCAGGAGGUACUGAAAAAGGGACAAUGCUUCGACUGAAUGUGUCAUCCAUGUACCAGUAUAGACCUGUUAAUGAGGCAUAUCCAAUAAUUCUUAUACUCAUGAAGAGUGUGGCAACUCCCAAGUAGUUAAGGAUGGCACUCAUUUUAAAUCAGAUCCUCACUUCUAGGAUGUUUUCCAUGUUCUUGUGAAAAGUGUUUUACAUGGCACCAUUAAGCUACAAAUACUUUGCCGGUGGAACUGUGACAUCAAUCAACUGCUCAUGCCACUGCUAAUUGGCAGAAUUUCCUUUGGGACAAGCAAACUGUUUCAAAUAUAUUUUACACCUGCAAGUAGUGAUGAGUGUACUGGAAGUUUUUUCGGGAUCUUGUCUGACAUCAUAGGUACAACUGGUCACUGUGCUUUCUUGGUUAUAUAAGCAGG